Molecule: ribosomal RNA, 121 nt
Filed under: Ophiostoma piceae UAMH 11346
Lineage: Eukaryota; Fungi; Ascomycota; Sordariomycetes; Ophiostomatales; Ophiostomataceae
Source: RNAcentral
ACGUACGGCCAUAGAUACUGGAAAGCACGGGAUCCCGUCCGCUCUCCCCUAGUUAAACCAGUAAUCGGCGGAUUAGUAGUUGGGUCUGGUGACGACCAGCGAAUACCCUCUGCUGUACGUU